RNAcentral lists this ribosomal RNA (394 nucleotides) under Cranchiidae environmental sample cf. Leachia sp. Its description in RNAcentral is "partial 16S ribosomal RNA". It matches the Rfam family "Bacterial large subunit ribosomal RNA", at positions 1966 to 2564 of the family's 2925-position model. Lineage: Eukaryota; Metazoa; Mollusca; Cephalopoda; Oegopsida; Cranchiidae. The record is from RNAcentral.
AAUUUGCCUUAUAAUUUGAGGCUAGAAUGAAUGGUUUGACGAAGGUUAAGCUGUCUCUAUCUUAUUUUUUAGAAUUUAAUCUUCAAAGUGAUAAAGCUUAAAUUUUUUAAAGGGACGAGAAGACCCUAUUGAGCUUAUAAUUUUAGGGUUGCUUAACAUUAGUUAUUUGGGGAGCAAUUUAUAAAUUUUAAUUGGGGUGAUUAAGGAAUAGAUAAGAAAAUAAUAUAGUAACUUCCUUAGAUUGAAAUAUUGUUAAAUAAAGUAACCAAUGUUAUUAUUGCUUUUAUAAUAGUUACCAUAGGGAUAACAGCGUAAUCUGUUUAGAGAGUUCUUAUUGAAAAAUGGGAUUGCGACCUCGAUGUUGGAUUAAAGUAACCUCAGGGUGCAGAAGCUU